UGGCGGACGGGGUGAGUAAUGUCUGGGAAACUGCCCGAUGGAGGGGGGUAACUACUGGAAACGGUAGCUAAUACCGCAUAACGUCGCAAGACCAAAGAGGGGGACCUUAGGGCCUCUUGCCAUCGGAUGUGCCCAGAUGGGAUUAGCUUGUUGGUGGGGUAACGGCUCACCAAGGCGACGAUCCCUAGCUGGUCUGAGAGGAUGACCAGCCACACUGGAACUGAGACACGGUCCAG
Molecule: ribosomal RNA, 236 nt
Filed under: uncultured bacterium
Lineage: Bacteria
Description: partial 16S ribosomal RNA
Rfam family: Bacterial small subunit ribosomal RNA
Source: RNAcentral